Gorilla gorilla gorilla (western lowland gorilla) is the source of this 749-nucleotide long non-coding RNA. RefSeq lists it as uncharacterized. NCBI's taxonomy places the organism in Eukaryota, Metazoa, Chordata, Mammalia, Primates, Hominidae. The transcript has 3 exons. The record is from RefSeq and is a predicted model, not a curated record.
AUUUUUCCCAUGGUAAUUUUUCUUUUUCUUUUUUUUUUUUUAAAGAGUUUGGCUCUGUCACCCAGACUGGAGUGUAGUGGCAAGAUCAUGGCUCACUACAGCCUCAACCUCCUGGGCCCAAGUGAUCCUCUCACCUCAGCCUCCCAAGUAGCUAGGACCAGCUAAUUUUAUUUUAUUUUUUGUAGAGAUGGGGUUUUCCUGUGUUGCCCAGGCUGGUCUCAAACUCCUAAGCUCAAUUGAUCCUCCCACCCCAGCCUCCCAAAGUGCUAGCCACCGCACCCAGCCUCUCAUGAAAAUUUCUGAUAACAGAUUUGGUUGUUCUCUGAUAUUCUUGAUAAGCUAUUUUUAUUUUUAGAGCAUAUUUACAGGAAUUACAAGUUCAUCAGUAGACUUCGAUCCAUACUGCUUGGUGAUCUCCAAAAAAGGCACACAGUAGGCACUGAAUAAAUGCAUGCUGACCUCACCUGUUAAGUUUUUCAGAGAAGAGGGCCUGGCCUGUGUAACUUGGGUGAAAUUUCUAUACCAGAGAGGAGCAAGUGUUUCCUAGAGAGCCCUUUCUUUUCUCCAGAAGAUAUGGCUUUUGAAGAAACGGGGCUUCACUGUGUUGCCCAGGCUGGUCUCGAACUCGUGGGCUAAAGUGAUCUGCUCGCCUCAGCCUCCCGAAGUGCCAAGAUUACAGGCAUAAACCACUGCGCCCUGCCAACAAUGACAACCUAACAGCAACGGGCACAUGGCACCCAGACUGUGGU